RNAcentral lists this long non-coding RNA (234 nucleotides) under Oryza sativa (Asian cultivated rice). RNAcentral describes it as "long non-coding RNA (OSAT_LNC000598)". Lineage: Eukaryota; Viridiplantae; Streptophyta; Magnoliopsida; Poales; Poaceae. The record is from RNAcentral.
GCGCGUGCCGUUCCUCUUCACCAUCAAGAAUCUGGUCGCCACCGGCAAGCCGGAGAGCUUCGGCGGGCCCUUCCUCGUGCCCAGCUACCGUGGUUCGUCCUUCCUCGACCCAAAGGGCCGCGGUGGCUCUACCGGCUACGACAACGCUGUGGCGCUCCCCGCCGGAGGCAGAGGAGACGAGGAGGAGCUCGCUAAGGAGAACGUCAAGAACGCCUCGUCGUCGACGGGCAACAU